AACGAACGCUGGCGGCAGGCCUAACACAUGCAAGUCGAACGAGAGCUUCGGGUGUGGUUGCGCACGCGGGCGUCACGCGUGGGACGCUGGCCUUAGGCUCGGGAUAACUCUCCGUAAGGGGGGCUAAUACAGGGUAAUGUCUUCGAACCAAAGAUAUAUCGCCUUUGGAUGGGCCGGCGUUGGUUUAGCUUGUUGGGAUGGUAAAAGCCUAUCAAGGCGACGCUCCAUAGCUGGUCUGAGAGGAUGAUCAGCCACACUGGGACUGAGACACGGCCCGGAAUCCUGCGGGAGGGAGCAGUGGGGAAUAUUGGACAAUGGGCGAAAGCCUGAUCCAGCAAUGCCGCGUGAGUGAUGAAGUCCUGAGGGUUGUAAAGCUCUUUUACCCGGGAUGAUAAUGACAGUACCGGAAGAAUAAGCACCGGCUAACUCCGUG
RNAcentral lists this ribosomal RNA (433 nucleotides) under uncultured bacterium. Its description in RNAcentral is "partial 16S ribosomal RNA". It matches the Rfam family "Bacterial small subunit ribosomal RNA", at positions 29 to 507 of the family's 1533-position model. The record is from RNAcentral.